AUGGCUCCAGCUCGAGUUGUUGCAGUGGUGCUGCUGGCGGUCGGCAGUUUGCUGCUGUCUGCGGCUGCGGACACCGCAACUGCGCCAUCCCCGCAACCGUUCGUCUGGCAGAAGGCGCAUGCAACGUUCUAUGGUGGUGCUGAUGCCUCUGACACAAUGGGUAAUCAGUCAAGUCACGCCACUAUAUCUAUCUAG
This 195-nucleotide ribosomal RNA is filed under the name Triticum aestivum (bread wheat). Its description in RNAcentral is "partial small subunit ribosomal RNA". Lineage: Eukaryota; Viridiplantae; Streptophyta; Magnoliopsida; Poales; Poaceae. The record is from RNAcentral.